RNAcentral lists this transfer RNA (73 nucleotides) under Danio rerio (zebrafish). It matches the Rfam family "tRNA". From Rfam's summary of the family: Transfer RNA (tRNA) molecules are approximately 80 nucleotides in length. Their secondary structure includes four short double-helical elements and three loops (D, anti-codon, and T loops). Further hydrogen bonds mediate the characteristic L-shaped molecular structure. tRNAs have two regions of fundamental functional importance: the anti-codon, which is responsible for specific mRNA codon recognition, and the 3' end, to which the tRNAs corresponding amino acid is attached (by aminoacyl-tRNA synthetases). tRNAs cope with the degeneracy of the genetic code in two manners: having more than one tRNA (with a specific anti-codon) for a particular amino acid; and 'wobble' base-pairing, i.e. permitting non-standard base-pairing at the 3rd anti-codon position. The record is from Rfam by way of RNAcentral. Lineage: Eukaryota; Metazoa; Chordata; Actinopteri; Cypriniformes; Danionidae.
GUCUCAUUGGCACAGUAGGCAACGCGUCAGUCUCAUAAUCUGAAGGUUGUGAGUUCGAACUUCACAUGGGGUU